Molecule: long non-coding RNA, 1509 nt
Filed under: Parus major (Great Tit)
Lineage: Eukaryota; Metazoa; Chordata; Aves; Passeriformes; Paridae
Description: lncRNA (ENSPMJG00000010566.1)
Source: RNAcentral
AUCAAAAAGGCAUUGAAUCUGUUCUCUUCUCUCCAAGACAGGAACAUUGAAUGAUAGGAAAGAAUUCUUCAAUGGGUGAGUCUUCCCUUUCUGCAAUGAGGAAUAUUUGACACAGCUUCUUAUAAGUCUGAUGGCUUUACUGGACAAGUGACAAAUAACAGGGCCCACUGUGGAGGUCACUGAGGAAAUGAUGCUGAGAAUUCACUCCCUGAAACAAAGGUUCUAGUUCUCAGUCUUUAGAUAUGUCAUAUUUUGUAUGGCCUGGAAGAACCAAGAAUUUUUCUCAGGAAGAAGACCCUACAAAGAAAAAGCUGCGGCACCACAAGAUACAGUGCCUUUGCUACUGCCAUAGAAGACAUUCAGAAAGCAAAAUGGAAAUGAAUUGCAACAUAGAAAUAUGAAGUCCCCAAUAGAUACUGCAUUUUGUCACAGGGUGGAGGAAAAGGAUACCUGGCCUCACACAAAAUGAAAGUAGCCUACAGAACUUCUCCUUUUUAAUGAGCUUAAUCUCCCAGAAACACAUGGUUGAAAAAAAACAAAAAGAAGAAACCAAUAUGUAGGGGCUUUGAGUGGUCUCAGAAUUUGAGAGGCCUUGAUGUGGUCUGUGCAGUUAUUCUGACAGAAAAAUGUUUGCUACAGAACUAGCUGGAUUUCAGAAAACUUUUCUCCCAUAGGUUGAUGUGCAAUUAAAUUGUUCAUUGUUGUAUUCAUGUAUGACUUGCAUUUUUGAAGUCCAGCACUAAGAAAGAGAAGACUGCAACAAAGAACCUUCACCUCUGCCCUCUACCCCAGGUUUAUUCCAUUAAAUUGGGAAGUAUUACUCAGUAUAUCACAUUAUAAAAGAAAAUGCAAGUGAUGCAUGGAGUGUUCAUCGACUCUCCUCUGCCAUACAGAGAAUACAAAGUCCUUGUACUUGCCGGAAUAUCAUGAAUACUACCAAUAUUUUCCUGUUUUCUUGAACCUGGAAGUACUACUAGAAACACAACAUAUUGGAUCCAUGAAACUUCAGAUGUCUUCGUGAUGUCUUAUUCCUCUACCUUUCACUGACAGGUCAUCAACCUCCCAGGGAGUAUGAGCACACAAACCUGUGUUUUAUGUGACCAAAGGAGAAGUAUGCUCCUCUCUUCUCCACACAGAGACUGUUUUAAGGGAAGUCUACACCCCCAAGACGGUGCAGCCUAUUCACUGCUGAUGUCCUGGCACUUGAAGAAUGACCAAAAACAUCUGUGAGAGAAGGAGGAGAUUAUCCACUCCAAAAAUGCACUUUUAUUAGUGGUAGGACAGAGAAUCAGACAAUCUCUUACCACAUUACACAGUAAUUAUAAGGACAGCUGCACUGUACCUUCAGCUGAUGCUUCUCCUGGAUAGGCCCAAGUUUUCAUUAAUGUAAUUUCCAAUGUCCAAAUGGCACAAUGUAAUCUGUAAUAAGUAGGUAACAUGACUCUGAUCCCAGAAUAAGAAAAGAGGAAGAAAAACAGGCAAAUUAAAAUAAAGAGAAAUAAAAUCUCA